This 1577-nucleotide unclassified non-coding RNA is filed under the name Bombus terrestris (buff-tailed bumblebee). Its description in RNAcentral is "misc RNA ENSBTSG00005039255.1". The record is from RNAcentral. Lineage: Eukaryota; Metazoa; Arthropoda; Insecta; Hymenoptera; Apidae.
AACUGGUGGGGAAUUUUUCGGACGUUGCGAGAGCAUUCGAGAUGAACUGAAAAGGCAAAGACGAUGGGAUGGGAGGUAACAAUGAGAGACCGAAUAAAAUACCAACGCACUGAGUACUAGAACUAGUACUUUACGUCAAGCUUCAGUUAAGAGAGAGGAACUUGGUUCGCGAAUGAAUGACGCGGAAGAGAAUCUCGCUGCCGUUUAUCAUAAAUAUUUGCUCGAAGUAGCUGCGCAAGUUUAUCGAUAUUCUCGAGUUCGUCGCAGUGAAUUGUUAAUUGCCCUCGUUAAUUGUCCGCAUGGGUGAAAUCAGUUCCGCGCGUUACAAAGGGUUGGUGGAAGCAAUUGCCGGCCAGAGGUUUUCCACCAAACCGGCCUGGCUGGCCGGGUGGUUUCAAAGGACCGGAGCUACAUUUUCCAGUGAAAGGUACAAGGGACGUUGCAAACAAGACAACACGGUGGAAAUCUACGUAUCCGUAGCGGAGAGUUUCCCAACGACGCCGACAUGCAUCACGGUAACUUGCCGGGGAAGGUCAUCAGAAGUUGAAGAGUGUCCGCCCGUGUGCAUUACAAAUUAGUGUCUUUGAACUAGUUCCGACCACUGUCAUAGACCACUCAUCCUCACAUCCCAUAUAUCCAAGCUGUUUGUCUCCAACCCGAAAUUUCAUUCAUAGCUUCCGGGCAAUCGCCUCUUCUAUCUUUCGUUGGUUUAAUCAGACUAACGACUUUCGAUGCACGAGAUUCCGUUGAAAUUGUUGGGAAUUUUAUCGUUAAAAACGGAGGUUUCUGGGGAUUGGCGUCUCGUUGUUAUUAACAAUACGCAAUAGGAUGUACUGAUUGAAACUGUACAAAUUAUACGAGGCUGUAAAGAUGACGGAAAUUGAUAAUACACGGUACAAAAGAAAAGCCUCGAUAUUACAUCGUUAGCUUAAAAAAUCUUGGAAAUGUGAAAAGUGAGAAUUUCGAUCGGGUGCUGAAAAUUAUACGAACGUUAUAUGCAAUUUCGUGGUAGAUCGCGGUUUUUGAUAGAAGCGCUCAAGUUUCUUUUAGAGAAACUGAAAAAGGAAACGUACAGAUAGGCGAAACAGUUAAAAACGAGAGUUAAGAAUCGACAGAGUUCGUAGUUCGGAAUUGAGGUUAUGUCGAGGCAAUAUCUCGUUGAACGGAAUAAGAAUAAUAAAAUCAAUAUUUUAUUAUUACAUAUAAUUAUUAUCGUAUUAUUUUAUAUUCUACAAGUCAAAAAAGUCAAUCUAUAAUCAAACGUUUCAUGAAUAUCUCUAUCGAAACAGACCUAACCUCAAUAAUCAAUAUAAAUCGCUAUGGCGUAUAUUCUAUAACGAAGAAAAGCAGCAGAAAAUCAGCGAAUUUCGAAAAUAUUUAAGGAGAAAGAAAUUCCUAGAUGGAAAACUAUUUUAGAUGGAAAAUGUUGAAAGCUCGAGCUCGUGACGCAUUUGAAUCGACAAAAGCGCGAGAACGAAGCAUGAAAAGGGUGUUGUAACUACAGGCGUUGCUCGUUGAGGAAGAAUUCAAUUUGUGCGCGUUUACCGCGCGAGACAAGAGCGCGGUCCCUCUUGGUU